UUAAAUUGAAGAGUUUGAUCAUGGCUCAGAUUGAACGCUGGCGGCAGGCCUAACACAUGCAAGUCGAACGGUAACAGGAAGCAGCUUGCUGCUUUGCUGACGAGUGGCGGACGGGUGAGUAAUGUCUGGGAAACUGCCUGAUGGAGGGGGAUAACUACUGGAAACGGUAGCUAAUACCGCAUAACGUCGCAAGACCAAAGAGGGGGACCUUCGGGCCUCUUGCCAUCGGAUGUGCCCAGAUGGGAUUAGCUAGUAGGUGGGGUAAC
Molecule: ribosomal RNA, 266 nt
Filed under: Escherichia coli
Lineage: Bacteria; Pseudomonadati; Pseudomonadota; Gammaproteobacteria; Enterobacterales; Enterobacteriaceae
Description: partial 16S ribosomal RNA
Rfam family: Bacterial small subunit ribosomal RNA
Source: RNAcentral